Molecule: long non-coding RNA, 373 nt
Organism: Corapipo altera (White-ruffed manakin)
Lineage: Eukaryota; Metazoa; Chordata; Aves; Passeriformes; Pipridae
Exons: 3
Source: RefSeq, a predicted model, not a curated record
GAGCAGGGCUGGGCCUCAAGGUUACUCCUCGAGGUCAGGAGAUGCUUUAUCCAGCAUCUGAUAUCUAUAAUGAGGAAGUGGGAAAUCCCACAACAUGGAGAGGAGCUAUGUUGAAUACUAGCAGAAAGAAUGAGGAGCAACUAAAAUCUGUGGGGGCUGGUAUAAGAAACCUGAAGAUGGGAAAUAGCUUGAAGAUCCAAUAGAAUGCAAAGAUAGAGUUAGAAGAGGACAUGAACAACAUACAUCAAGAUUCUCCAGUUUUUGCUUUUCAACUGUUGACAAAUAGUUGUGGAAACAAGAGGAAAUAGCACAUUGGCUUGCACUGCAGAGAUUCCAAAAGAAUCAGAAUUUUGGAAGGCAUGAAAAGAACUUA